CGGUUGAUCCUGCCGGAGGUCACUGCUAUUGGGAUUCGACUAAGCCAUGCGAGUCGAGAGGGUUCGGCCUUCGGCUGACGGCUCAGUAACACGUGGAUAAUCUGCCCUUAGGUGGAGGAUAAUCUCGGGAAACUGAGGAUAAUACUCCAUAGAUCUAGGAUGCUGGAAUGCAUCUAGAUUGAAAGCUCCGGCGCCUAAGGAUGAGUCUGCGGACUAUCAGGUUGUAGUCAGGGUAAAGAUCUGACUAGCCUACGACGGAUACGGGUUGUGAGAGCAAUAACCCGGAGACGAUAUCUGAGACACGAUAUCGGGCCCUACGGGGCGCAGCAGGCGCGAAAACUUCACACUGUGCGAAAGCGCGAUGAGGGAAUCCCAAGUGUUUGCUCGUAAGAGUAAACUGUUUCUUUGUUUAAAACGCAGAGAGAGUAAGGGCUGGGUAAGACGGGUGCCAGCCGCCGCGGUAAUACCUGCAGCUCUAGUGGUGAUCAUUAUUAUUGGGCCUAAAACGUCCGUAGCCGGUUUAGUAAAUGCCUGGGUAAAUCGUGUAGCUUAACUAUACGACUUCCGGGUAGACUGCUAAACUUGAGACCGGGAGAGGCUAGAGGUACUCCUGGGGUAGAGGUGAAAUUCUGUAAUCCUAGGGGGACCACCAGUGGCGAAGGCGUCUAGCUAGAACGGGUCUGACGGUGAGGGACGAAGCCCUGGGGCGCAAACCGGAUUAGAUACCCGGGUAGUCCAGGGUGUAAACGCUGCUUGCUUGAUGUU
This 765-nucleotide ribosomal RNA is filed under the name uncultured archaeon. RNAcentral describes it as "bacterial SSU rRNA". It matches the Rfam family "Archaeal small subunit ribosomal RNA", at positions 5 to 775 of the family's 1478-position model. The record is from RNAcentral.